This is a non-coding RNA of Oryza sativa Japonica Group (Japanese rice), 2469 nucleotides long. NCBI's taxonomy places the organism in Eukaryota, Viridiplantae, Streptophyta, Magnoliopsida, Poales, Poaceae. The record is from RefSeq and is a predicted model, not a curated record.
UCAGGUCCUCCUCCCAGCCCAGCCAUGGGUUGUUGCCUUCCUCCAGCCGCCGCCUGUUCAUCUCUCCCGGCUGAACCAUAGCGCCGUCGCCUCGCCGAUCUCCCUCCCCGCUCAUUCCCUCCUCAAAUUUAAUCGCUUCCUCUCCUCUUCCUCUUGAUUUCCCUCUUGAUUCGGCCUUUACUUAUCGAAUUUAAUCUCCGAUGAACCACUGCCAUUGGUCGAUGCCCCACUGUCUCCAUCGUCAUUCUCCUUGCCCGGCGCCGUUCCUCCUCCCCAAGCUGCUAUAAAAGGACCCCUGGACCCUCCUCAUCCUCCAUGCUUCCUCGGGUCAUGGUCUCUCGCUCCCACGUUGCCUCCUCGUGCCUCCUCUCUCCUCUAUGCCGGCAAGCUCCAGCCACCCCUCCCUGUCGAAUGGAGUAGCGCCGAACCACGCCACCACCUCCCUCGGCAUCGCAGACACCUCUUCUCCAGCCUCAUCUCCAUUUCGCCCAAAGGCCAACGGAAGUGCAUCCUCAUCGGCAACCAGAGGCGCUGCUGCCGUCGUCCUCCUCCAAUCGACCUUCAUCGACAAAUCGAGCGUCGUCAGAACACGCCUCUACCUCCUUCGUCAUUGUAGCCACCUUCUCUCCCUUGGCCACACCUCCAUUUCUCCUGGAGACCGCUAGACACCCGUCCUCUCCGGCGAAUAGUGAGGACACCGCGUUCUCCUAAUCUGGUAGCACCUCUAGCCCCGCUAGAGCAUCGGCUCCUGCACCAUCGUCGGCUUCGGUCUCACCUCGUUGUCAUCAUCCUGGGCCGCAUCUCCUCGCUGCCCCCAAUGACCCCUGGAACACGACCCCGAUGCCGUCGCCUUCCUUCAAACGUCGUUCCCAUCAAGACAAAGUGCUAUCCGUCGUUGUCGUCAGGUCUGCAGCGCCAAGCCCAUCGUCCUCUGCCUCUUCACCAAGCCUAAAGAUCACCGGAGCCGUCCACUCAGUCGACCCGUUCGUCUCCCUCGUCAUCCUACGUUCGCCAUCGUCGAGCCAAGCUCGUCAUCGGUUGCCGCCGCUAUUCCUUCACCGCAUCGUGCCCGUGUUGCCGUUGUUUCGGAAGUUCCCGAAGUGUAGUUCAAAGUCGUGAGAAGACCUUCUCUUCGAGCAAGUCAAGUCAUACCAUAUCCUUUCACAUAUUGAAUCCCAUUAUUGCAAAAACUAUAUUGUUUCACAUCUAUAUGCAUUGCUUUUAUAAAUUAUAUGACACUCACUUUUGUUUAUUUAAUAGUUAAUAUUCCUAUGAUCCUUAUUAUAUAGCCAUGUGGUUGAAUUGCUAGUCAUGCUCAUGUUAACCUUAGUAAAAUGAUAGAACGACUAGCAUGGCUUCCUAUAUGAUAGACUUACUAGGUGCUUUAGGUUGGGCUUAUUUAUGCUUAGAUCCAACAUAGAACCCCUUUUUACAAAUUAGAUUGUGGGUAAUAGCUAAAAUAUAUAAGAAUGAUGAUUAGGUGGUUGGUUGAGUCAGGACAUGAUGGAAUCUCAUUCAAAACUCUCUAAACCUGUUUUUAGUGGGGCAUGAGGUUCAUGAUUUUCUUAGAAGCACCUCGACCACUAUAAGGACCGGUCUUGGGUCCUCUGCUGCAAAACAUAACAGUCCAACCACAAGUCUAAUAGGUAAGGCUUGACUAGAAGUCUAGAACAUGUCAAAACAAAGGCCAUCUGUAUGAUAGGUCUGGGACUAGGGGAGGCCGACUUUGACCUGGCACAUGGGGAGGCCUGUCUCGUCCUGGAGGAUCCGGCAACCUUUACAUUGUCAAGGACCGGCGGGCGAUGAAACCUUAGCGGGUCCCUCUAUUUUGGGUUGAGCUACGUACGUGCAUAGUCUUGUAACAAUCUUGACUUUUCGGGUACCUUUUCGAUAUCGCUAUGCUUGGCUGACAUGAAGUCAAGUGUUGUGUCUUAUGGUUAAAUAUGUGCACCUUUGAUUGGAGUAAAACUAUUCAAAUAGCCGCUCCCUCGGUUAUGGGCAAGCCAAGUAAUGUACCCAAGUUAGUGUUUUUCUUCUAAGUAAUGGAUGGAAUUUAUGGUACUUUCGGCAGGUGGUUAUCCUAGGUUUAAGGCCGCGUGGGUUCACAACCGUGAUAAUAUUGCUUAGAAAUAGGACAGAGUUUAAACUAUACUUUAAAAAUAUUGAAAUAUUGCAACUUUGGCGUUACGCGAAAGUAAACCCUAUUAUGCCAACUCUUUGUUCCCUCUUUGCAUUACAAUUCAUUUCCCGGCAUUGCUUGCUCAAUCUUUUCCCCUCCAGUAAGAGAAGUUGUUUGAAGAAUAAGUCUUAUGUGGAGUCCUGGCUUAUAUCCCAGUUGAGCACUUGUAAAGAUGGAGCUGUAGACCCACUAGUCCGUUGCUAUUUUUCUUUUCUUAUCAGAUCUAAUGUGCCUUUGUAAUAAUGUAUAUAUUAUCGUGAUUAGUAAUAAAGAUGUGUCUUUUGUAUCAA